RNAcentral lists this microRNA precursor (100 nucleotides) under Oryzias melastigma (Indian medaka). RNAcentral's name for it is "microRNA 203b (ENSOMEG00000022745.1)". The stretch from base 10 to 89 matches the Rfam family "mir-203 microRNA precursor family". Lineage: Eukaryota; Metazoa; Chordata; Actinopteri; Beloniformes; Adrianichthyidae. The record is from RNAcentral.
AAAUGUGUUGUCAUUCUGAUUAAGUGGUUCUCAACAGUUCAACAGUUCUUUGAGAAAAUUGUGAAAUGUUUAGGACCACUUGACCAGUCAGACAAAUGCU